UACGGAGGAUGCGAGCGUUAUCCGGAUUUAUUGGGUUUAAAGGGUGCGCAGGCGGAAUGUCAAGUCAGCGGUAAAAUUGCGGGGCUCAACCCCGUCGAGCCGUUGAAACUGGCAGACUUGAGUUGGCGAGAAGUACGCGGAAUGCGCGGUGUAGCGGUGAAAUGCAUAGAUAUCGCGCAGAACCCCGAUUGCGAAGGCAGCAUACCGGUGCACAACUGACGCUCAGGCACGAAAGCGUGGGUAUCGAACAGG
This 252-nucleotide ribosomal RNA is filed under the name uncultured Bacteroidales bacterium. RNAcentral describes it as "partial 16S ribosomal RNA". It matches the Rfam family "Bacterial small subunit ribosomal RNA", at positions 524 to 776 of the family's 1533-position model. The record is from RNAcentral. Lineage: Bacteria; Pseudomonadati; Bacteroidota; Bacteroidia; Bacteroidales.